This 74-nucleotide transfer RNA is filed under the name Haematopus ater (blackish oystercatcher). RNAcentral's name for it is "tRNA-Phe". The record is from RNAcentral. Lineage: Eukaryota; Metazoa; Chordata; Aves; Charadriiformes; Haematopodidae.
GUUCCACGUAGCUUAACAACCCAAAGCAUGGCACUGAAGAUGCCAAGAUGGUUGACCACCCUGACCCGGGAACA